GUCCAGGGGCGGGAACCCACAACCUUCUGCUUACCGGGCAGGUGCCAUGUCCACUAGGCUUACCCUGGA
This 69-nucleotide transfer RNA is filed under the name Cordylochernes scorpioides. RNAcentral describes it as "tRNA-Thr". Lineage: Eukaryota; Metazoa; Arthropoda; Arachnida; Pseudoscorpiones; Chernetidae. The record is from RNAcentral.